This 103-nucleotide signal recognition particle RNA is filed under the name Aedoeadaptatus coxii. RNAcentral describes it as "Peptoniphilus coxii Bacterial signal recognition particle RNA". It matches the Rfam family "Bacterial small signal recognition particle RNA". Rfam says of the family: The signal recognition particle (SRP) is a universally conserved ribonucleoprotein involved in the co-translational targeting of proteins to membranes. Archaeal SRP consists of a 7S RNA and homologues of the eukaryotic SRP19 and SRP54 proteins. The record is from RNAcentral. Lineage: Bacteria; Bacillati; Bacillota; Tissierellia; Tissierellales; Peptoniphilaceae.
UGAGCAGGUCCUGCGCAAUAGACCCUUGCGAACCGUGUCAGGUCUUGACGGAAGCAGCACUAAGUAAGUCAGUCUAUGUGACGCAGAUUAGCCUUCUCUGAGU